Molecule: long non-coding RNA, 472 nt
Filed under: Capsella rubella
Lineage: Eukaryota; Viridiplantae; Streptophyta; Magnoliopsida; Brassicales; Brassicaceae
Description: long non-coding RNA (CRUB_LNC004489)
Source: RNAcentral
AAAAAAUGAAAAAAAAAAAACUAUAACCAACUCACAUUUUGUACCAAACCAGAGCCACGAAAGCCAAGAGAAUUCACAGGGAAGACAGAGCAGUUUUAUGCGUCGGUGGUGUAACGGUGGUGGCGGAAGAAUUAUCGGUAAAGUUCGUCUCACCCCAAUGCCAAAGCAUACUCUCCCAAAAACAGAAAUCUUCGUAACAAGUCUUAAGUCUCUCAUCUUUUAUUUUUAUCUUCCAGUGUCCAUCUUUGUAAUUCCCUUUCUCUGCUUGUCUGCGAUCCCACUCAAGUUGUGCCUUUUGUUUCGAUCUCAAUAGACAGAACUUGUGCAAAUUCUCAGGCAUUGCGUCAUGCACUCUCCACCAGGUUUUAUGUGCUUCGUCACUUGCGAAUUCCUGAAAAAUAUCCACAUUCCAGUUGCAAUCAUAGUCUCUGAAGCAUAACCACGGUUUGUUAUAACCUAGGUAAUGAAGAAC